This 1293-nucleotide unclassified non-coding RNA is filed under the name Hevea brasiliensis (rubber tree). The record is from RNAcentral. Lineage: Eukaryota; Viridiplantae; Streptophyta; Magnoliopsida; Malpighiales; Euphorbiaceae.
ACCGUGAGGCUUAUGGCCAAAGCGAACAAUUACUCUGGUGGUUGGAGCCCGAUCAUUACAAAUAUAAUGAGCUUCACCCCAAAUAUGGAUCACCUUCAAGAUUGCAUUAGGCACGUGUCUACUUACAAAAACAAGCAAUUCUAUUUCCGGAGAAAUGAAAUCCAAAAUGCAUAUACUCCAGAAAUAAAUCAAAAUUCAGUCCUCUCAAGGUAAGCAGACUAUGACUCCAUAUCCACAUAAAAUGCCAACCACACAAAGUUAAGUGCUUCUUUAAUAAACAUUUCAUCUUCCAGCUAAAAAGCCUGUUAAGAUACAAUUGACAGACACCAACAAUUCUAAAUCAAUAAACUUAAUGACGCAAAAUAAACAAACGAGGUAGCAAUCAAAUAAACUUGGAAAUUUUGAACAAGGCUACAGAACAGAGCCAGUAAUAGAAAAGUCUAAGGUUCACUUCUGUCCUUUAUAUGCCAUAUUUAUCCCACUAAUAUCAGCAAACUGAUAUUACCAGAAUAUCCUCUCUAAUACCAAAAAUCAGAAAAUUUUAAACUAAAAUAAUGAUCCCAAACAGGCUUUUAAAUAAAUUUUUAUUUUCAGAAAUCAAUUCUGUGUAGAGUGCGCUACUUCUCCCUUACCUACAUAUGCACCAAAUUUAGGGGAAAAAAAAGGGUUAAAUCCUUCAUUUUUUUGUCAAGAAUUAAAAGCACAUAAAAGAACAAAAAGCACGACAGAAUAUUUGUGUCAUGCAAUUGUAAUUCUCCCCAAGAUAUGAAAUUAAGUUUAGCUAAACCACAUCAAUUCAAAAGUUCUUUUAUUUCUUUCUUACUUCUUCAAUGUUCCAAAAAAAUGAAAGCCUAAUGCUCUUUUUGCUUCACUCAAUAUAAUUUGCAUGAAGAAUAUAUAUGAGGAGUAAAUAUGCAAACAAUAUCUCAAUCUUCAAUGAUAAAUCUUCAGUAGCUAAGAUACUGUUAACUUCAACUAUCAUUUAUUUCUUUAAAAAGUAUGUUCUAAUAUUUUCUAUUCACAUACAAAGAGAUACUAAAAAAAUGUUUCUUAAAGAUAAAGCCUCUCUUUUUUACUAGAUUAUAAUAACUGAAUAAAAGAGAAACUAAAAUGUAAAUCAAGUUACAUGAAAACAGACUACCAUGCAAAGUUGCAAACUUCCAAAGUAUAAUUUGAAAGUAUGAUCUUUUAAAAGCAAAUUCAAGUGGUGUACUUUUUUUUCACAAUAACCAUUAAAACUAAGGAAAUGGAGAGUGAUUGGUAUAAGAAAAACCCCAAGAGAGAGAGAGAGAG